This 74-nucleotide transfer RNA is filed under the name bacterium. RNAcentral describes it as "tRNA-Arg". It matches the Rfam family "tRNA". From Rfam's summary of the family: Transfer RNA (tRNA) molecules are approximately 80 nucleotides in length. Their secondary structure includes four short double-helical elements and three loops (D, anti-codon, and T loops). The record is from RNAcentral.
GCCCCCGUAGCUCAACCGGAUAGAGCAACGGAUUUCUAAUCCGUAGGUUAAUGGUUCGAAUCCAUUCGGGGGUA